GGAACGAGAUGGGUUGGCUAGCAAGGAAAGGACUUCAUACACACAAAGUAUUUUGCUAUGGAAUUGUAAUCAUUCGAUUCUGAAACAAGAUGCAGUCCCCUAGAAGCCAUUCGACACUUCCCUUUGCUACCUGGAAGGAAUGAACUUGACCAUCCUUUUGUUAAAAAUCUCCAAGAGAAGUAGUGUGCUGCAUCCCGCGCAGCCUCCCGGUACAUGCGUGUAUGUGCCUAUUUUAGCUGUGGAUGUAUACUUAGCUGUGUAGGCAAGCGCUAGCGCCCUCUGCUGGAACAAAGUAGAAUUCUCUCCUCGCGUAACAAUUGUUUCUUCAGGCUGAGGUAAUGGAUUCGUUUCCUUGAGCUCACCAGAAAGGACGAGGUUUCGACAAGGACUUCCUGGCAUUUAUUCCUCUGACAUCUGGCAUACCACUGGCAGCAAUCAAGACAUACAACCUUGUCAUUUGGGAGAUUUGUUCACCCAAAGGAAGACUUGAUGGUACUCACCAGUUAGAGCUUCAAAGGGCGUCUCCUCGAUACGUAAUAAAUGCUGGCUCUCCACCGUCAGUCCGUCCUCAGUAUGCAGGUGCGGCUGCUAUGGCUGCGCACAUCGUUAAGUGCUGCACACUCCACCUUCCCGCUGGACCACCCACCGGAGGUUAGCAUCGGGAAUCUCCAAGGAGGCCUCUUGGGGCUGAAGAGUUGGGAGAGGCUCCCAGGCUUGAAGCAAUAAAUGAGCAAGUCAACAAUCUUCUCUACCUGGGCACACUGAGCCUACAUGCCUGGAAACAGCCAAUAUUCUACCAUGGACUUAGUCAAAUCCACUGAUGGAGUACAAACAUAAGGGAUCACUCAUAGAGCACUGUGAUCUUCCACCCCUGUCUGGACCUGUUACAGAAUACUGAAAGUCAGAAGCAUGGUGUCACAUAAGGAAGAUGAAGCCUUCAAAUAAAUCUGCAGCCCCUCCUGGUAUUUUAUUUGGUCUAGGAAAAACCUUUGGGCUCCCUGUGCCAACCCCUCCAUUCCCUCUCCCUCCUGGGAUUUCUAGGACCACCAUUUGCCACUCCUCUCUCUGUCCUUGUUCUCUAGUCCUCAUCUGAUUGGCUAACACAGUAGGCAUUCCAUAUUUUGAUGACCUCUUUGUGACAUGCAGGGAGAAGAACUGAUCUUGUUCAUGGCAGGUUUAGCUCACAAGCCUAUCUUCUACUUGUUUCCUUGCAACAUCAUUUAGCUACUGCAUCUGUUAGCCACCCCUUCACUCAGAGGCAGCUGUGCAAAGAUUGAACCAUGUGAUCCUGAAAGCACAACACUGAAAGCUUCUGACUGUGCCAAGAGGAGAGAGUAGGGAAACAAAGGCCAAAGCCAGGGCCAAAGCCAGCUGCCAGGAACCCCCAUCUCCAACAGCAACACAGGAAAAUAAUAGUGAGGCUCCAUUUACCAUCACUCUCCUCCCCAGAGAAGCUCUCUGGAUUGGAGAUGAAAACUUCCUCCCCAAACCAUAUCUUCACCCUUUUCCCACCCUUCUGUACUCCCCACUCUUGGGAAUGAAGCACCAGGGCUCAGGAAACAAGGUGCUUUUUUCUCUCUCCCUGGAGGGACUGAGUGCUGCUAUCCCAGGCCCUGCAGAAUUCCUGAAGAAUUCAGGGCUUAGGGAAAGUGAAGGAGGACCUCUUGAAGGUGAAGCCCAAAAGUUCAAUAAGGACUGUAUAACUUGAAUAGGGGACCAGCUCAGUAAACUAUUAGACUUAGGUUGUGUGCAAGGCUAAAACAUCUCCAACUGGUUGUGUUCCCAUUUCUCUAUGCAAUGCUUGUCCUGCUCUUGGUUGAUGGAUUCUGCUAGGAGGCCUUCAGGAGAGAAAAGAAACAAUCUCUUCCCUCAUAUCUUUUUCUCUUUCUUUACUUCCCCAGACUCGCUUUUCUCCCUCCCUCUCUCCCUCCCUCCUUCCCUCUUUCUAAAGUCUUAGUUCUACUGCAGGCCCUUGACCUCGACACUUCAGUUAGACUAUUACCAGACUCACAACAUACUUCCUAAAUAAUCUUCAACCAAACCUUUUGACUUUCUUUGAUUUUCAAAAAAUACUCACUUCCACCUAUCCUUUUUCUUGAGGAUAAAAUGGGGUUUAAAAAGUGACUGAUAAAAUACUUUAAACACCUAUAGAAAUAUUACUACAUAAAUAAAGGGACAGAGGUCACACAUCCUGCUGAUAAGUGUGAGGACAGUUGUUACCUAUAAAAAUAUUGGCAGUGUUCAAUGGAUUAUUUUUUUUAAGAUGAUUUAUUUUGAGAAAGAAAUAGAGAAAUCCCAAGCAGGCCCCACACUACCAGCAUGGAGCCUGAUGCAGAACUUGAACUCAUGAACCAUGAGAUCAUGACCUGAACUGAAAUCAAGAGCAGCAUGCUUAACCAACUGACCCAGUGGGUUAUUUUUAAUAUAGGAAAUUGAAGUUUUUCUUCUUAGAAGACAUUUAUUUUCUAACCUCUACUAUUUGUCAGAUAUCACUGACAUCCAAUAAAAAAGUCAGGCUUUUAUUGACAAGUUGCUUUUGGUUUUCAUUUUCAUUCUACAUCAUAAGUUGAACCAACAUCAAAAUUAUUUUUAUGUGCUUUUCCACAGUGUUAAAUUUAGUCACAAUCACUCAAAUCUUAAAUGAUAUCAUGGAAUCUACAAGUAAAUCUGAAGUGCUAUGGGUUUGAGUGGAAAUGAAGAUCUUGAUCUUGCCUUGCACCUUGCUGUGUGCCUGUGAGCAAGUAAUUUGGUGUCCUUAUCUGUUACAUGAUAUUUAAGGCUUGUGUGGCACUCACAGUCCAUUAAUCUAUAAGCUAAUGAUUUGGUAAGUCUUUCUUAGAAUGAAUACAGAAUUAUGCCAUUGAACACCUAUACUGACUACAUUUUGCCUCAAGAUGGUAACUUAUCUUCACAAAUUGAACUUAAGGUGUUAUCUAGGUGGCAUUUAGGAGAGCUUCCAAGUGGUCCCACAUCAAAAAAUCAUUUGUAGAAGGAAGAAGUUACAGACAGAUAAACUUGAACGGCCAAAUGAUUGAGUUAAAAUGGAGACCUUUUUUAAGAAAGUUAGUUCUAAUCUCCCCACAAACAGCAAUGUUCAGGAAAUCCUAGGUCUCUCUGAUAAGGUCUUUAUUAACCCUUACAAUACUUUCCAACAAAGAACAUUGAUUUAAAAAUAUACUAUUGGCACAUAUAUAAUGUCUUAUGUUCUCUGACAAUCUUAACCCACAUCAUCUGGUACUUGG
Acinonyx jubatus (cheetah) is the source of this 3242-nucleotide long non-coding RNA. RefSeq lists it as uncharacterized. The transcript has 5 exons. The record is from RefSeq and is a predicted model, not a curated record. NCBI's taxonomy places the organism in Eukaryota, Metazoa, Chordata, Mammalia, Carnivora, Felidae.